GCACCCGUGGUGAAAUUGGCAUACACGCAAGGUUCAGGUCCUUGUGCCCGCAAGGGCGUGGAGGUUCGACUCCUCUCGGGUGCACCA
This 87-nucleotide transfer RNA is filed under the name Verrucomicrobiota bacterium. RNAcentral's name for it is "Verrucomicrobia bacterium (microbial mat metagenome) tRNA-Leu". It matches the Rfam family "tRNA". Rfam says of the family: Transfer RNA (tRNA) molecules are approximately 80 nucleotides in length. Their secondary structure includes four short double-helical elements and three loops (D, anti-codon, and T loops). The record is from RNAcentral. Lineage: Bacteria; Pseudomonadati; Verrucomicrobiota.